Macaca mulatta (Rhesus monkey) is the source of this 621-nucleotide non-coding RNA. NCBI's taxonomy places the organism in Eukaryota, Metazoa, Chordata, Mammalia, Primates, Cercopithecidae. The record is from RefSeq and is a predicted model, not a curated record.
AGGAAACCUGAGCCUGCGGUGCAAGCCGAGCCAGCCCGACGGGAGGCGAAGGGCCAGGGAGUCGCGCAGCCCCUGCAGCCGCCGCGGGCUCAGACCAUGGAGGCAGGAGCUGGAGGGAAGAGAGUGAAAUUUGGUGCUGUGACUCCGGUCGGGGGACCUCCCAUGGGAGAUCAAUCCCCUGUCCUCCUGCUCUUUGCUCCGUGAGCAAGAUCCACCUACGACCUCAGGUGCUCAGAUCAACCAGCCCAAGGAACAUCUCACCAAUUUUAAAUCGGAUCUUCUUGGCUUAGCGGCUGAAGACGGACGCUGCCCAAUCGCCUUGGAAACCUCCUAGACCAUCACGGACGCCGAGCUUCCGGUAACUCUCACAGUGGAGGCUACAGUUUGGCAGCUCCUGGGCACCUCACCCCUCCCCUACAACUCCAAGCCAAGAAUAUAAUUGGUUCAGCUCAUCUCAGGUAGGCAUCCCCUUCUUUGGAGGUGUAUCUCAGGACAGCCAAUCAGGGGCUUCCCUGGGCGGAUUCUCCUUUUCUGGUCCAAUUAGCUUUGACAUAAAGGCCUUAGUUGGGGGCAAAACUACCUCCCAAUAGAGGCCAUCUGCCAAGGAAAGGGGGUGGGGCA